This 233-nucleotide unclassified non-coding RNA is filed under the name uncultured fungus. RNAcentral describes it as "sequence contains ITS1". The record is from RNAcentral. Lineage: Eukaryota; Fungi.
GUAUUUCAUUGCGUUAAACGCGACAUACAUUCCAUGAGACUUUGUUGUAGUGUGUGUGUAAAGACGCAGAGCCACAGCAGGGGGACAGAGCCCACCCAGGCCAUAGAACUACAGAGGGUGCACAGGUGUGAGUGGAUGUGUAAACAGAGCGUGCACGUGCCCCCCUUCGAGGGCCAGCAACAACUCGUGUCGACAAUUCGGUAAUGAUCCUUCCGCAGGUUCACCUACGGAAA